GUGUGAUUACUGUGGGAAAGGUUGCUCAGUUUUCACUUCUAAGUCAGGGUCACAUGUUGGAAGGAAAUUUUUUAAAUGUUCAAUGAAUUGCCACUUCUUCAUGUGGGUUGACCAUCUUAAGAUGUGUGACUAUGGGAACGGUCAGUGUAAGGUCAGAACUGCGAAAACAAGUGCAAAUUAUGGUCGAUAUUUUUGGUGCUGUCCAUAAUCAACUGGGGUUGAAAACAAAGGUUGUGGAAUGUUUGAAUGGAUAUCAAGUUCAAGCCCAAGUUGUGAUACUUACCAGACUCCACCUAGGUCCCUAUGCUCAGAAACAUCAACUUCAUCAUCUCCUUCCCCUUCAUCAGACUAUAUCAAAGGAUACUUGAAUGGUGCGAUAAAAGAAUCUGAGGGUCAUAUGAGGAUGCUGAGAGAUGUUCUUGACGUAGUCAAGAAGCUUGAUUUAAACAAAAAUGUAUGAUGAACUUUUUUGGAACUUUUUAAAAAGAAAAGUCUGAAGCCAUUGUAA
Molecule: long non-coding RNA, 508 nt
Organism: Macadamia integrifolia
Lineage: Eukaryota; Viridiplantae; Streptophyta; Magnoliopsida; Proteales; Proteaceae
Exons: 2
Source: RefSeq, a predicted model, not a curated record